Molecule: ribosomal RNA, 1555 nt
Filed under: Escherichia coli
Lineage: Bacteria; Pseudomonadati; Pseudomonadota; Gammaproteobacteria; Enterobacterales; Enterobacteriaceae
Description: bacterial SSU rRNA
Rfam family: Bacterial small subunit ribosomal RNA
Source: RNAcentral
UUAAAUUGAAGAGUUUGAUCAUGGCUCAGAUUGAACGCUGGCGGCAGGCCUAACACAUGCAAGUCGAACGGUAACAGGAAGAAGCUUGCUUCUUUGCUGACGAGUGGCGGACGGGUGAGUAAUGUCUGGGAAACUGCCUGAUGGAGGGGGAUAACUACUGGAAACGGUAGCUAAUACCGCAUAACGUCGCAAGACCAAAGAGGGGGACCUUCGGGCCUCUUGCCAUCGGAUGUGCCCAGAUGGGAUUAGCUUGUUGGUGGGGUAACGGCUCACCAAGGCGACGAUCCCUAGCUGGUCUGAGAGGAUGACCAGCCACACUGGAACUGAGACACGGUCCAGACUCCUACGGGAGGCAGCAGUGGGGAAUAUUGCACAAUGGGCGCAAGCCUGAUGCAGCCAUGCCGCGUGUAUGAAGAAGGCCUUCGGGUUGUAAAGUACUUUCAGCGGGGAGGAAGGGAGUAAAGUUAAUACCUUUGCUCAUUGACGUUACCCGCAGAAGAAGCACCGGCUAACUCCGUGCCAGCAGCCGCGGUAAUACGGAGGGUGCAAGCGUUAAUCGGAAUUACUGGGCGUAAAGCGCACGCAGGCGGUUUGUUAAGUCAGAUGUGAAAUCCCCGGGCUCAACCUGGGAACUGCAUCUGAUACUGGCAAGCUUGAGUCUCGUAGAGGGGGGUAGAAUUCCAGGUGUAGCGGUGAAAUGCGUAGAGAUCUGGAGGAAUACCGGUGGCGAAGGCGGCCCCCUGGACGAAGACUGACGCUCAGGUGCGAAAGCGUGGGGAGCAAACAGGAUUAGAUACCCUGGUAGUCCACGCCGUAAACGAUGUCGACUUGGAGGUUGUGCCCUUGAGGCGUGGCUUCCGGAGCUAACGCGUUAAGUCGACCGCCUGGGGAGUACGGCCGCAAGGUUAAAACUCAAAUGAAUUGACGGGGGCCCGCACAAGCGGUGGAGCAUGUGGUUUAAUUCGAUGCAACGCGAAGAACCUUACCUGGUCUUGACAUCCACAGAACUUGUAGAGAUACGAGGGUGCCUUCGGGAACUGUGAGACAGGUGCUGCAUGGCUGUCGUCAGCUCGUGUUGUGAAAUGUUGGGUUAAGUCCCGCAACGAGCGCAACCCUUAUCCUUUGUUGCCAGCGGUCCGGCCGGGAACUCAAAGGAGACUGCCAGUGAUAAACUGGAGGAAGGUGGGGAUGACGUCAAGUCAUCAUGGCCCUUACGACCAGGGCUACACACGUGCUACAAUGGCGCAUACAAAGAGAAGCGACCUCGCGAGAGCAAGCGGACCUCAUAAAGUGCGUCGUAGUCCGGAUUGGAGUCUGCAACUCGACUCCAUGAAGUCGGAAUCGCUAGUAAUCGUGGAUCAGAAUGCCACGGUGAAUACGUUCCCGGGCCUUGUACACACCGCCCGUCACACCAUGGGAGUGGGUUGCAAAAGAAGUAGGUAGCUUAACCUUCGGGAGGGCGCUUACCACUUUGUGAUUCAUGACUGGGGUGAAGUCGUAACAAGGUAACCGUAGGGGAACCUGCGGUUGGAUCACCUCCUUACCUUAAAGAAGC